UAUCACGGGAGACACACGGCGGGUGCUAACGUCCGUCGUGAAGAGGGAAACAACCCAGACCGCCAGCUAAGGUCCCAAAGUCAUGGUUAAGUGGGAAACGAUGGGAAGGCCCAGACAGCCAGGAUGUUGGCUUAGAAGCAGCCAUCAUUUAAAGAAAGCGUAAUAGCUCACUGGUCGAGUCGGCCUGCGCGGAAGAUGUAACGGGGCUAAACCAUGCACCGAAGCUGCGGCAGCGACACUGUGUGUUGUUGGGUAGGGGAGCGUUCUGUAAGCCUGUGAAAGGUGUGUCGUGAGGCAUGCUGGAGGUAUCAGAAGUGCGAAUGCUGACAUAAGUAACGAUAAAGCGGGUGAAAAGCCCGCUCGCCGGAAGACCAAGGGUUCCUGUCCAACGUUAAUCGGGGCAGGGUGAGUCGACCCCUAAGGCGAGGCCGAAAGGCGUAGUCGAUGGGAAACGGGUUAAUAUUCCCGUACUUGGUGUUACUGCGAAGGGGGGACGGAGAAGGCUAUGUUGGCCGGGCGACGGUUGUCCCGGUUUAAGCGUGUAGGUGUGUGUUCCAGGUAAAUCCGGUUCACUUUAACACUGAGGCGUGACGACGAGGCACUACGGUGCUGAAGCAACAAAUGCCCUGCUUCCAGGAAAAGCCUCUAAGCAUCAGGUAACAUCAAAUCGUACCCCAAACCGACACAGGUGGUCAGGUAGAGAAUACCAAGGCGCUUGAGAGAACUCGGGUGAAGGAACUAGGCAAAAUGGUGCCGUAACUUCGGGAGAAGGCACGCUGACACGUAGGUGAAGUGAUUUACUCAUGGAGCUGAAGUCAGUCGAAGAUACCAGCUGGCUGCAACUGUUUAUUAAAAACACAGCACUGUGCAAACACGAAAGUGGACGUAUACGGUGUGACGCCUGCCCGGUGCCGGAAGGUUAAUUGAUGGGGUCAGCGCAAGCGAAGCUCCUGAUCGAAGCCCCGGUAAACGGCGGCCGUAACUAUAACGGUCCUAAGGUAGCGAAAUUCCUUGUCGGGUAAGUUCCGACCUGCACGAAUGGCGUAAUGAUGGCCAGGCUGUCUCCACCCGAGACUCAGUGAAAUUGAACUCGCUGUGAAGAUGCAGUGUACCCGCGGCAAGACGGAAAGACCCCGUGAACCUUUACUAUAGCUUGACACUGAACAUUGAGCCUUGAUGUGUAGGAUAGGUGGGAGGCUUUGAAGCGUGGACGCCAGUCUGCGUGGAGCCAACCUUGAAAUACCACCCUUUAAUGUUUGAUGUUCUAACGUGGACCCGUAAUCCGGGUUGCGGACAGUGUCUGGUGGGUAGUUUGACUGGGGCGGUCUCCUCCUAAAGAGUAACGGAGGAGCACGAAGGUUGGCUAAUCCUGGUCGGACAUCAGGAGGUUAGUGCAAUGGCAUAAGCCAGCUUGACUGCGAGCGUGACGGCGCGAGCAGGUGCGAAAGCAGGUCAUAGUGAUCCGGUGGUUCUGAAUGGAAGGGCCAUCGCUCAACGGAUAAAAGGUACUCCGGGGAUAACAGGCUGAUACCGCCCAAGAGUUCAUAUCGACGGCGGUGUUUGGCACCUCGAUGUCGGCUCAUCACAUCCUGGGGCUGAAGUAGGUCCCAAGGGUAUGGCUGUUCGCCAUUUAAAGUGGUACGCGAGCUGGGUUUAGAACGUCGUGAGACAGUUCGGUCCCUAUCUGCCGUGGGCGCUGGAGAACUGAGGGGGGCUGCUCCUAGUACGAGAGGACCGGAGUGGACGCAUCACUGGUGUUCGGGUUGUCAUGCCAAUGGCACUGCCCGGUAGCUAAAUGCGGAAGAGAUAAGUGCUGAAAGCAUCUAAGCACGAAACUUGCCCCGAGAUGAGUUCUCCCUGAGACUUAAAGUCUCCUGAAGGAACGUUGAAGACGACGACGUUGAUAGGCCGGGUGUGUAAGCGCAGCGAUGCGUUGAGCUAACCGGUACUAAUGAACCGUGAGGCUUAACCUU
This 1973-nucleotide ribosomal RNA is filed under the name Salmonella enterica subsp. enterica serovar Senftenberg. RNAcentral describes it as "bacterial LSU rRNA". It matches the Rfam family "Bacterial large subunit ribosomal RNA", at positions 973 to 2925 of the family's 2925-position model. The record is from RNAcentral. Lineage: Bacteria; Pseudomonadati; Pseudomonadota; Gammaproteobacteria; Enterobacterales; Enterobacteriaceae.